Molecule: ribosomal RNA, 445 nt
Filed under: uncultured bacterium
Lineage: Bacteria
Description: bacterial SSU rRNA
Rfam family: Bacterial small subunit ribosomal RNA
Source: RNAcentral
GUAAGGAAUAUUGGACAAUGGACGCAAGUCUGAUCCAGCCAUGCCGCGUGAAGGAUUAAGGUCCUCUGGAUUGUAAACUUCUUUUAUAAGGGACGAAAAAAGGCUUUUCUAAGUCGUCUGACGGUACCUUAUGAAUAAGCACCGGCUAACUCCGUGCCAGCAGCCGCGGUAAUACGGAGGGUGCAAGCGUUAUCCGGAUUCACUGGGUUUAAAGGGUGCGUAGGCGGGCAGGUAAGUCAGUGGUGAAAUCCUAGAGCUUAACUCUAGAACUGCCAUUGAUACUAUCUGUCUUGAAUAUUGUGGAGGUAAGCGGAAUAUGUCAUGUAGCGGUGAAAUGCUUAGAUAUGACAUAGAACACCUAUUGCGAAGGCAGCUUACUACGCAUAUAUUGACGCUGAGGCACGAAAGCGUGGGGAUCUAACAGGAUUAGAAACCCUGGUAGUCC